UACGGAGGGUGCAAGCGUUGUUCGGAUUUAUUGGGCGUAAAGCGCGUGUAGGCGGUUUCUUAAGUCUGAUGUGAAAGCCCCGGGCUCAACCCGGGAAGUGCAUUGGAUACUGGGAGACUUGAAUACGGGAGAGGGUAGUGGAAUUCCUAGUGUAGGAGUGAAAUCCGUAGAUAUUAGGAGGAACACCGGUGGCGAAGGCGGCUACCUGGACCGAUAUUGGCGCUGAGACGCGAAAGCGUGGGGAGCAAACAGG
This 253-nucleotide ribosomal RNA is filed under the name uncultured bacterium. RNAcentral's name for it is "partial 16S ribosomal RNA". It matches the Rfam family "Bacterial small subunit ribosomal RNA", at positions 524 to 776 of the family's 1533-position model. The record is from RNAcentral.